Long non-coding RNA from Osmia bicornis bicornis, 388 nucleotides. RefSeq lists it as uncharacterized. The transcript is spliced from 3 exons. The record is from RefSeq and is a predicted model, not a curated record. NCBI's taxonomy places the organism in Eukaryota, Metazoa, Arthropoda, Insecta, Hymenoptera, Megachilidae.
GCAACAUUUAUCUAAUUCCAGCUGUUUCAACCAAAAAAAGAAACAGCUAAAAAUGCUAUAAUCGCACUAAUAAACCUGGCUGUAAAUCUUAUCAUACACCAAAGAGUCAACGUUGUUGCCCCAAACGAAAUCAAGAUGUGCAAAAUCCUUGUGUGGUACCAAUAAUUUCUCAGCAUUAGGUACUACUUUGGCUAAUUUGAUCGAGUCCUAUUAAAGUGGAACAAAAUUGUACAUAAAUCAGGUUGUAUUCAGGAGGAUGAAUCUGUCCAUAAGUCCAUAAGUUACUGAGAAGACCAUGGUUGAACUGUUGAAACUUGCCUAUGAAGAAACAGAAACACGCAAUGAACGACUAUAAGAGAAGAAAAUAUACAAAAUGGUAUCAUAAAGU